CGUUCUAUGGCCGAAUUGGUAAAGGCAUCGCCGAUCACAGGCGAGAUUGCGGGUUCGAGUCCCGCUGGAACGG
This is a transfer RNA of Operophtera brumata (winter moth), 73 nucleotides long. It matches the Rfam family "tRNA". Rfam says of the family: Transfer RNA (tRNA) molecules are approximately 80 nucleotides in length. Their secondary structure includes four short double-helical elements and three loops (D, anti-codon, and T loops). NCBI's taxonomy places the organism in Eukaryota, Metazoa, Arthropoda, Insecta, Lepidoptera, Geometridae. The record is from Rfam.